Molecule: non-coding RNA, 366 nt
Organism: Nylanderia fulva
Lineage: Eukaryota; Metazoa; Arthropoda; Insecta; Hymenoptera; Formicidae
Source: RefSeq, a predicted model, not a curated record
UGAGUUCAGUUGGAUAACUCAUAUAAUAUAUAUAUAUUCCAGCUUGAUAUUAGCGUCUAUAUUCUUUUUGGUGGCAGUAUUUUUUGUGUAUUCCAUAUUGCCAGAACUCCGAAAUGAACACGGCUUCAUGUUGCGCAAUUACACUGCAAUUGCAGCCAUCGGAUUCAUGAUUGAUAUUGUGAGACUUUUACAUGUCAACGAGCAUGUGUUAUAUCCCGUCUGUAUUACAAUUGCCUUUUUUGGAUAUUUUUGUUUUAUGUCGGGUUACUCUGGCUCAGUACCAUGAGCUUUAAUAUGUGGCGGACGUUCAGAGAUUUCUCUUCGUUACAAAGAAACGUCAGACAAUCAGGAAAAAAAAAGUUGGUG